RNAcentral lists this ribosomal RNA (410 nucleotides) under Dicyrtoma sp. CAdH-2002. RNAcentral describes it as "partial 28S ribosomal RNA". Lineage: Eukaryota; Metazoa; Arthropoda; Collembola; Symphypleona; Dicyrtomidae. The record is from RNAcentral.
CCUCUCGGGGGUAAGCGGGCAGAACUUGCAAGUAUUGAUGAGAGAUUCAGGCUUACUAGUUGGUGGCUGAGAGUAUAUUUUAGAUUAGAUCCUUCGGGGUCGGAUUGAUGUGUGCUCUUUGAUCUGCUGGUAGUGCGCCGCAUUUCUCUCUAUCAUCCGGGUUGCAUGCAACUAAUAUGGUGUUUUAGGUGCUGGGGUACUGCAAAUCUUCGGGUUUGAGUCCUGGUUUCCGAACACUUUUGUGGUUGUUGACUUGAGUGAGCAGGCGUUUGUCGCGGUCGAGGGUCUGGACGAGCAGGGUACACAUGAUGUGUGGACGGGUAACCGUAGCAUGUUGUGUGUACUGGUUGGCGGUCAGACUUUUCGGCACUGCUCAAAAUUGCAAUCUAAAGCAUGCGUGGUCUGCCUGU